GUGGGAGGAUCGCUUGAGCCCAGGAGUUUGAGACCUGCCUGGGCAACAUAGUGAGACCCCAUCUCUACAUCCAAAUAAAAUAAAAUAAAAUAAAAUAAAAAGGUAAAAAAAAAGAGAGAGAGACAGCGUGAUAAUUUUUGUACCAGGAAUGAAAAGGGAGCCCAAAAAUCUAAGCAGUGAGCAGGUGCUGAAAUCAAGGGACUCACAGAGCAAGCCAGACAGGAUUAGACUUUAUUACUGGGGACUGGGCUUGAACCUCCGGGCUGCAACAUCAGAGGCUAACAGAAUGGAAAGUUAAAAGAUGGACAAAAGACUUGGGGCUGGAAAGCAGCAGAUGCGAGCAGAAUUGACAGAACAGCACAUGGCCAGGAUAUCCCUCCCCGCUAAAAUACUAGGAUACUGACUUAGAAAAGCAGAGGGUCAGGGAAAUCUAAAAAAAAAAGACUGACAUUUCUAUUUAAGAGACAUUGCCUAAAUUGCUGAUUAAAUAAACAGAUCCAACCAGAUCUAAAUAAUAUUGGACAUUUAAUUAGCUUUCCUAUUACACUGCAGGUACAGCCUCAGGAAUACUUAUAGGCAAAAUUAAAGUGCUACUUUUCUAUCUGCCUCUCUGAGUUGGAGUGAGUUAAAUGUGUAACCCCCACAUUGUAUAUAAUAAUCUCUUACAAUCUUGUUCAUAGUGCCACCUAUGGUCACGACCAAUUAGAGCUGGUAAGGCAGCUGCACUGUUUGCUUCAGCCAAUGAGGGUAAAUGUACUAUGUUGCUAAGACUCUCAGCCAAUGAGUACUCUCCUGAGCUAUCUUCAGCCAGGCAUGCACUGCAAGAUGGGUCAUUUGUGCUUCUUUGGCUUAACUUUCUGCCAUUGACUUUGGGUUCUAGGGAACAGAUUGACCCCAAACAUCUGACAUAACCUAUGUAAGUGACAGUGUUGGGUUAGAAUAAAGAAACAAAGACUAUCAUGGCAUUUUUUUAAUAAAGCAAUUGUUACAGUGACCUGUUUUGGAGACUGCCAGAGGUUAGGUGGCAGUUGCCUUCUAGAUCUAGCCACAGGAGAAAAAAUUAAAGAGCCAUACGACUGUGAGGCAGAUCCUCAUCAGGGAGGAGGCACAGUGUCUUUUUAACCACUUUGAAGACCAACAGCCAAGACAUCUUGAGCUAGUUGUGGUGGACAGAGUGUUCCAAACACCUCAGCCACCAGGAAAAGGGAGUGGCCAGGAAGAGGCUGCAGGCUCAAGGGCAGGGAUUCUCCCACCCACCCAAGGAACCUACUGAGCAUCGAACCACUCCAACUUGCCUUGGGAAGAGGACUUGAAUGCUACCAAAGACUGCUCGACAGGCCUGCAAGGCAGGACUACUUUUGUGAGAAUUUGAAGACCAUGCCGACCUGUCAUUUAAAGACACCCAUCUCUGCCUGAGCUGUCAGAUUUGCCAAGUUCUGGGUUGUCUCAUAAUUAUUUACUCAGUACAAAAUAAUACCAGCCAUGAUCCUCAGUGGUAAGUAGCAGAAAUCAACUGUAUUUGUUUGCUAAGGCUGCACUAAUAAAGUGCUGUAAACCA
RNAcentral lists this small RNA (1558 nucleotides) under Pan troglodytes (chimpanzee). Its description in RNAcentral is "processed transcript". Lineage: Eukaryota; Metazoa; Chordata; Mammalia; Primates; Hominidae. The record is from RNAcentral.